UGGGGAAUCUUGCGCAAUGCGCGAAAGCGUGACGCAGCAACGCCGCGUGGGGGACGAAGGCCUUCGGGUCGUAAACCCCUUUCAGGAGGGACGAAGUGUCGGCCGUUAACAGCGGUCCGGCAUGACGGUACCUCCAGAAGAAGCCCCGGCUAACUACGUGCCAGCAGCCGCGGUAAUACGUAGGGGGCAAGCGUUGUCCGGAAUCAUUGGGCGUAAAGAGCGCGUAGGCGGUCCGGUAAGUCCGUUGUGAAAGUCAAGGGCUCAACCCUUGAAUGCCGGCGGAUACUGUCGGACUAGAGUCCGGAAGAGGCGAGUGGAAUUCCUGGUGUAGCGGUGAAAUGCGCAGAUAUCAGGAGGAACACCCAUGGCGAAGGCAGCUCGCUGGGACGGUACUGACGCUGAGGCGCGAAAGCGUGGGGAGCAAACAGG
This 429-nucleotide ribosomal RNA is filed under the name uncultured bacterium. Its description in RNAcentral is "bacterial SSU rRNA". It matches the Rfam family "Bacterial small subunit ribosomal RNA", at positions 355 to 776 of the family's 1533-position model. The record is from RNAcentral.